AUUUAGCUGGUGAGUCCAAAAUAGGACGAAACACGUGUCUUGAAU
RNAcentral lists this non-coding RNA (45 nucleotides) under Schistosoma bovis. RNAcentral also lists the same sequence under 1 other name. Lineage: Eukaryota; Metazoa; Platyhelminthes; Trematoda; Strigeidida; Schistosomatidae. The record is from RNAcentral.